This 1373-nucleotide long non-coding RNA is filed under the name Canis lupus familiaris (dog). RNAcentral describes it as "lncRNA (ENSCAFG00000055013.1)". Lineage: Eukaryota; Metazoa; Chordata; Mammalia; Carnivora; Canidae. The record is from RNAcentral.
CUCAUUUGAUUGGGACAUUUCAAUACAUCUUCUAUAUUUUGGUUGUAUGUGUAUUUUCUUUUUUGUUGUGUUUUAAACAGUCUGAACCUUUAAAAUACACAAUCAGUUUUUUCUCUCCCUCUUUGGGGGGGAGGUGCAAAAUGAGAUGUUUUGCUUAGUUUCGAGAAGAAAAUACCUUUCUUUGCAUUUUUUCUUGUUAAUAAGGUUCAUUAUAGAUCUAAUUAUUUUCAUUCUAAGACUUUUACACUCUGCAGCAGAUACCUGGCAUAUGUUUCAGAGCAGCUCCCUGUCUGGGUUGAGCAUCGGGUAUGAGUCUCUGCCUUUUGUUUGGGUUCUUUUAAACACUAGAAGUUGCUGAGGCACCUUCUUCUAAUUUUCCCUUGCCUGUUUGUUUACCUCAUGCAUGUUCACACAGACUUGGCUCAGGCCUAUAAAUCCAGUCUGUGGAAGCUAAGUGACUGUCAGCCUGCACCAGGGCCUGCCGCAGCGUCUACCCCUUGCUAAGGGUUUAGGGGGUCGAAGGGAUACGCUAUGAAAUGUGAAUCCAUUUCCUCAAAUUCUGGGGUUUUGUUUUGUUUAGGUGAAUGGGGAACAAAUCCAACAAAAUAAUUCUUAGUGUUUUUCCUUUGUAGUUUAACAGUUUUCAAAGAGUCAGCCUCAGGACUGACUACUUUGUUGGCUCUAGUCCUCCUUUCUGCAGCCUCUGCCUACGUUUAGACUGGCUCCUCACUCAGCCUGAAACAGUCCAGCAGCACUAAAAAUCUGGCAUAUUUUCAAAGCAAUUUGACUUGGUCUUCAGAAGGCAAGGGUGGAGGUGAGCCAAAGAAUGUUUAUUUUUUCUGAUUUCAUGUGGCAGAUAGAAUGACCAUCCCAGACUUUUCAAAUAGUCUGAUCAAGAUGACUUUUGACCCUCAGAAACAAUCCAUUCAGCCUAGAGACUAAGCUGUGCCUCUGUCCUUAGCUGCCUCUGCUGAGCGUCUAACUGAGAUGUGGCGGGGAGCAUCCUCGUCCAUGUGUUCUGUUCUUAUCACUCAGGAAAGUACAUUCUUUAGGUUAAUGUAUUGGGGCAAACACUAAAAGUAACAGUAUGUGAGACUAGGUUUUCAGUUUCACUCUUUUCAGAAAAAACAAUGUAGUGAUAAGAAUCUACUCUAAAAUCAUGCUGUAGAUUAUAAGGCAUAACAGAAAUGACAAGAUGCAGUCACUGCACUCAUGCCACUUAAAACAGUGGGUCCUGUGGAUAGAACGGAAUCUUAAGAAUAGCCUGCUGAGUGCUGAGCAUCCUUUCAUUUAUAAGAAAUUAAACUCAGAAAUACUAAAUACAGUUCCUGAAUAUGAUUUCCUGUUGGUUAUCUAUACACUCUAGAAGAUUC